RNAcentral lists this ribosomal RNA (440 nucleotides) under uncultured bacterium. RNAcentral describes it as "partial 16S ribosomal RNA". It matches the Rfam family "Bacterial small subunit ribosomal RNA", at positions 338 to 795 of the family's 1533-position model. The record is from RNAcentral.
CCUACGGGAGGCAGCAGUAGGGAAUAUUGCUCAAUGGGGGAAACCCUGAAGCAGCAACGCCGCGUGGAGGAUGAAGGUUUUAGGAUUGUAAACUCUUUUUGUUAGAGAAGCUUAUGACCGUCUCUAACGAAUAAGCACCGGCUAACUCCGUGCCAGCAGCCGCGGUAACACGGCGGGUGCAAGCGUUACUCGGAAUCACUGGGCGUAAAGGGUGCGUAGGCGGGGUAAUAAGUCAGAUGUGAAAUCCUGUAGCUUAACUACAGAACUGCAUUUGAAACUGUUGCUCUGGAGUGUGCGAGAGGUAGGUGGAAUGCGUGGUGUAGGGGUAAAAUCCAUAGAGAUCAAGAAGAAUACUCAUUGCGAAGGCGACCUGCUGGAACAUUACUGACGCUGAUGCACGAAAGCGUGGGGAGCAAACAGGAUUAGAUACCCUAGUAGUC